RNAcentral lists this ribosomal RNA (1530 nucleotides) under Salmonella enterica subsp. enterica serovar Bredeney. RNAcentral's name for it is "bacterial SSU rRNA". It matches the Rfam family "Bacterial small subunit ribosomal RNA". The record is from RNAcentral. Lineage: Bacteria; Pseudomonadati; Pseudomonadota; Gammaproteobacteria; Enterobacterales; Enterobacteriaceae.
AGAGUUUGAUCAUGGCUCAGAUUGAACGCUGGCGGCAGGCCUAACACAUGCAAGUCGAACGGUAACAGGAAGCAGCUUGCUGCUUUGCUGACGAGUGGCGGACGGGUGAGUAAUGUCUGGGAAACUGCCUGAUGGAGGGGGAUAACUACUGGAAACGGUGGCUAAUACCGCAUAAUGUCGCAAGACCAAAGAGGGGGACCUUCGGGCCUCUUGCCAUCAGAUGUGCCCAGAUGGGAUUAGCUUGUUGGUGAGGUAACGGCUCACCAAGGCGACGAUCCCUAGCUGGUCUGAGAGGAUGACCAGCCACACUGGAACUGAGACACGGUCCAGACUCCUACGGGAGGCAGCAGUGGGGAAUAUUGCACAAUGGGCGCAAGCCUGAUGCAGCCAUGCCGCGUGUAUGAAGAAGGCCUUCGGGUUGUAAAGUACUUUCAGCGGGGAGGAAGGUGUUGUGGUUAAUAACCGCAGCAAUUGACGUUACCCGCAGAAGAAGCACCGGCUAACUCCGUGCCAGCAGCCGCGGUAAUACGGAGGGUGCAAGCGUUAAUCGGAAUUACUGGGCGUAAAGCGCACGCAGGCGGUCUGUCAAGUCGGAUGUGAAAUCCCCGGGCUCAACCUGGGAACUGCAUUCGAAACUGGCAGGCUUGAGUCUUGUAGAGGGGGGUAGAAUUCCAGGUGUAGCGGUGAAAUGCGUAGAGAUCUGGAGGAAUACCGGUGGCGAAGGCGGCCCCCUGGACAAAGACUGACGCUCAGGUGCGAAAGCGUGGGGAGCAAACAGGAUUAGAUACCCUGGUAGUCCACGCCGUAAACGAUGUCUACUUGGAGGUUGUGCCCUUGAGGCGUGGCUUCCGGAGCUAACGCGUUAAGUAGACCGCCUGGGGAGUACGGCCGCAAGGUUAAAACUCAAAUGAAUUGACGGGGGCCCGCACAAGCGGUGGAGCAUGUGGUUUAAUUCGAUGCAACGCGAAGAACCUUACCUGGUCUUGACAUCCACGGAAGUUUUCAGAGAUGAGAAUGUGCCUUCGGGAACCGUGAGACAGGUGCUGCAUGGCUGUCGUCAGCUCGUGUUGUGAAAUGUUGGGUUAAGUCCCGCAACGAGCGCAACCCUUAUCCUUUGUUGCCAGCGGUCCGGCCGGGAACUCAAAGGAGACUGCCAGUGAUAAACUGGAGGAAGGUGGGGAUGACGUCAAGUCAUCAUGGCCCUUACGACCAGGGCUACACACGUGCUACAAUGGCGCAUACAAAGAGAAGCGACCUCGCGAGAGCAAGCGGACCUCAUAAAGUGCGUCGUAGUCCGGAUUGGAGUCUGCAACUCGACUCCAUGAAGUCGGAAUCGCUAGUAAUCGUGGAUCAGAAUGCCACGGUGAAUACGUUCCCGGGCCUUGUACACACCGCCCGUCACACCAUGGGAGUGGGUUGCAAAAGAAGUAGGUAGCUUAACCUUCGGGAGGGCGCUUACCACUUUGUGAUUCAUGACUGGGGUGAAGUCGUAACAAGGUAACCGUAGGGGAACCUGCGGUUGGAUCACCU